CUAAUGUUCGAUAGGUGAAGAACUCUGGAAUGAGUCUUCAUUUAAACGGCGACAGAGUUAUGCUCUUUGGCGCUGCUUAAGGAUGGGGCCGCGACCGAUCAGGCUGUUGGUGAGGUAAUGGCUCACCAAGCCUUUUACCGGUGCGGGCCGUGGGAGCGGGAGCCCGGAGAUGGGCACUGAGACAAGGGCCCAGGCCCUACGGGGCGCAGCAGUCGCGAAAACUUUGCAAUAAGCGAAAGCUUGACAGGGCUAUCCCGAGUGCCAUCCGCUGAGGAAGGCUUUUACCCAGUCUAGAACGCUGGGGGAAUAAGGAGAGGGCAAGUCUGGUGUCAGCCGCCGCGGUAAUACCAGCUCUCCGAGUGGUGUGGAUGUUUAUUGGGCCUAAAGCAUCCGUAGCUGGCUAGGUUAGUCCCCUGUUAAAUCCACCGAAUUAAUCGUUGGAUUGCGGGGGAUACUGCUUGGCUAGGGAACGAGAGAGGCAGACGGUAUUUCCGGGGUAGGGGUGAAAUCCUAUAAUCCCGGGAAGACCACCAGUGGCGAAGGCUGUCUGCUAGAACGCGUCCGACGGUGAGGGAUGAAAGCUGGGGGAGCGAACCGGAUUAGAUACCCGGGUAGUCCCAGCUGUAAACGAUGCAGGCUAGGUGUUUGGACGGCCACGUGCCGUUCUAGUGCCGCAGGGAAGCUGUUAAGCCUGCCGCC
RNAcentral lists this ribosomal RNA (699 nucleotides) under uncultured archaeon. RNAcentral describes it as "bacterial SSU rRNA". It matches the Rfam family "Archaeal small subunit ribosomal RNA", at positions 146 to 828 of the family's 1478-position model. The record is from RNAcentral.